This 326-nucleotide long non-coding RNA is filed under the name Sus scrofa (pig). RNAcentral describes it as "lncRNA (ENSSSCG00070017414.1)". Lineage: Eukaryota; Metazoa; Chordata; Mammalia; Artiodactyla; Suidae. The record is from RNAcentral.
CCCUGAUGGUGCAGAGACUGUCACGUAAACUGCCUCAGCUUUCUGGGGACUGUUCUGGAGUGCUCACCUACACUAGGCUUGGGGACCAUGUUGGUGCCAUUUCCCCAGACUGGGUACUGACCUCUUCACAGUUCCCGUGGCGCCUGAAGGACUGGAGAGUUUAUGUUCCCAUGUCUCCUCUGGGUGUUGGCCAGAGCUGUGAUCACCAUGACGGGAAUCCUCCUUAUUUGCUCCUUAAGCAAAUAAUCCUUGUGUUUUUGAUUAUGCCCUUAAUCUUUGUCCUGAACUGCUGAUCUUCAGAGGGACCCAGGAGAAGAUGAGUCCAC